AAUUCUAUACUUUGAGGAGCCAUUUUCGUAGUUGGUUGCUAGAGAAGUUUCUCUGAACAUGGAGUGUACCAGAAAGCAUGAGGAGGAAGUGCAGUGCUCUCACCUUAGCUGUGAAAUCGGUUGCUUCAUUGUAACCACCAUUUUUCAUUGAUGGCCCAUCUUCUCUUCCUUUGGGAGAAUAAGAAGGGGAAGAUGCAGUCUGAGUGGU
This is a small nucleolar RNA of Gorilla gorilla gorilla (western lowland gorilla), 208 nucleotides long. Its record names the gene U3. It matches the Rfam family "Small nucleolar RNA U3". From Rfam's summary of the family: Small nucleolar RNAs (snoRNAs) are involved in the processing and modification of rRNA in the nucleolus. There are two main classes of snoRNAs: the box C/D class, and the box H/ACA class. NCBI's taxonomy places the organism in Eukaryota, Metazoa, Chordata, Mammalia, Primates, Hominidae. The record is from Ensembl.